UCAAGUAAUUAAGUGCAUGUGGUGGAUGCCUUGGCAGUCAGAGGCGAUGAAAGACGUGAUAGCCUGCGAAAAGCUCCGGGGAGGCGGCAAAUAUCCUUUGAUCCGGAGAUGUCUGAAUGGGGGAACCCACCUACUUUAAGGUAGGUAUUGCAACAUGAAUACAUAGUGUUGCAAGGCGAACGAGGGGAAGUGAAACAUCUCAGUACCCUUAGGAAAAGAAAUCAAUUGAGAUUCCCUCAGUAGCGGCGAGCGAACGGGGAUCAGCCCAUUAAGUUAUGUGUGUUUUAGUGGAACGCUCUGGGAAGUGCGAACGUAGAGGGUGAUAUUCCCGUACACGAAAGGGCACACAUAAUGAUGACGAGUAGGGCGAGGCACGUGAAACCUUGUCUGAAUAUGGGGGGACCAUCCUCCAAGGCUAAAUACUCCUGACUGACCGAUAGUGAACCAGUACCGUGAGGGAAAGGCGAAAAGAACCCCUGUGAGGGGAGUGAAAUAGAUCCUGAAACCGCAUGCAUACAAGCAGUGGGAGCACCUUCGUGGUGUGACUGCGUACCUUUUGUAUAAUGGGUCAGCGACUUAUAUUCAGUAGCGAGGUUAACCGUAUAGGGGAGCCGUAGAGAAAUCGAGUCUUAAUAGGGCGUUUAGUUGCUGGGUAUAGACCCGAAACCAGGCGAUCUAUCCAUGAGCAGGUUGAAGGUUGGGUAACACUAACUGGAGGACCGAACCCACUGUCGUUGAAAAGCCAGGGGAUGACUUGUGGAUAGGGGUGAAAGGCUAAUCAAGCCUGGUGAUAGCUGGUUCUCCCCGAAAGCUAUUUAGGUAGCGCCUCGGACGAAUACCAUAGGGGGUAGAGCACUGUUUCGGCUAGGGGGUCAUCCCGACUUACCAAACCGAUGCAAACUCCGAAUACCUAUGAGUACUAUCCGGGAGACAGACUGCGGGUGCUAACGUCCGUAGUCAAGAGGAAAACAAUCCAGACCGCCAGCUAAGGCCCCAAAAUCAUAGUUAAGUGGGAAACGAUGUGGGAAGGCAUAGACAGCUAGGAGGUUGGCUUAGAAGCAGCCACCCUUUAAAGAAAGCGUAAUAGCUCACUAGUCGAGUCGGCCUGCGCGGAAGAUGUAACGGGGCUAAAACUAUGUGCCGAAGCUGCGGAUGUAUACUUUGUAUACGUGGUAGGGGAGCGUUCUGUAAGCCGAUGAAGGUGUGUUGAGAAGCAUGCUGGAGGUAUCAGAAGUGCGAAUGCUGACGUGAGUAACGACAAAACGGGUGAAAAACCCGUUCGCCGAAAGACCAAGGGUUCCAGUCCAACGUUAAUCGGGGCUGGGUGAGUCGACCCCUAAGGCGAGGCCGAAAGGCGUAGUCGAUGGGAAAAUGGUUAAUAUUCCAUUACUUCUGUGUAAUGCGAUGAGAGGACGGAGAAGGCUAAAUCAGCCUGGCGUUGGUUGUCCAGGUGAAAGGAUGUAGGCAUGUAUCUUAGGCAAAUCCGGGGUACUCUAUGCUGAGAUCUGAUAGCAAGCUGUACUUGUACAGCGAAGUGGUUGAUGCCAUGCUUCCAGGAAAAGUCUCUAAGCUUCAGUUACACAGGAAUCGUACCCGAAACCGACACAGGUGGUCAGGUCGAGUAGACCAAGGCGCUUGAGAGAACUCUGCUGAAGGAACUAGGCAAAAUGGUACCGUAACUUCGGGAGAAGGUAC
RNAcentral lists this ribosomal RNA (1695 nucleotides) under Acinetobacter baumannii. RNAcentral's name for it is "partial 23S ribosomal RNA". It matches the Rfam family "Bacterial large subunit ribosomal RNA", at positions 3 to 1749 of the family's 2925-position model. The record is from RNAcentral. Lineage: Bacteria; Pseudomonadati; Pseudomonadota; Gammaproteobacteria; Moraxellales; Moraxellaceae.